This 697-nucleotide ribosomal RNA is filed under the name uncultured Gammaproteobacteria bacterium. RNAcentral describes it as "bacterial SSU rRNA". It matches the Rfam family "Bacterial small subunit ribosomal RNA", at positions 62 to 794 of the family's 1533-position model. The record is from RNAcentral. Lineage: Bacteria; Pseudomonadati; Pseudomonadota; Gammaproteobacteria.
UCGAACGUGAAAGCACUUCGGUGUGAGUAGAGUGGCGGACGGGUGAGUAACGCGUGGGAAUCUGCCCAGUAGUGGGGGACAACUACCGGAAACGGUAGCUAAUACCGCAUACGCCCUAUGGGGGAAAGGCUUCGGCCGCUAUUGGAUGAGCCCGCGUCAGAUUAGCUAGUUGGUAGGGUAAAGGCCUACCAAGGCAACGAUCUGUAGCUGGUCUGAGAGGACGAACAGCCACACUGGGACUGAGACACGGCCCAGACUCCUACGGGAGGCAGCAGUGGGGAAUAUUGGACAAUGGGCGAAAGCCUGAUCCAGCAAUGCCGCGUGUGUGAAGAAGGCCUGCGGGUUGUAAAGCACUUUCAGUUGGGAAGAUGAUGACGUUACCAACAGAAGAAGCACCGGCUAAAUCCGUGCCAGCAGCCGCGGUAAUACGGAUGGUGCGAGCGUUAAUCGGAAUUACUGGGCGUAAAGCGCGCGUAGGCGGCUAAGUCAGUCAGAAGUGAAAGCCCCGGGCUCAACCUGGGAAUUGCUUUUGAUACUGCUUGGCUAGAGUUUGGUAGAGGAUAGUGGAAUUCCAGGUGUAGCGGUGAAAUGCGUAGAUAUCUGGAGGAACAUCAGUGGCGAAGGCGACUGUCUGGACCAAAACUGACGCUGAGGUGCGAAAGCGUGGGUAGCAAACAGGAUUAGAUACCCUGGUAGA